This is a non-coding RNA of Podarcis lilfordi (Lilford's wall lizard), 68 nucleotides long. Lineage: Eukaryota; Metazoa; Chordata; Lepidosauria; Squamata; Lacertidae. The record is from the annotation of a GenBank genome assembly.
AUAUACACACACACACACAUAUAUAUAUACACACUAUAUAUACUAUAUAUGUGUGUGUGUAUAUAUAU